CCUACGGGGGGCUGCAGUGGGGAAUAUUGGACAAUGGGGGGAACCCUGAUCCAGCCAUGCCGCGUGUGUGAAGAAGGCCCUCGGGUUGUAAAGCACUUUCAGUGAGGAAGAACGCCUGGUGGUUAAUACCCAUCAGGAAAGACAUCACUCACAGAAGAAGCACCGGCUAACUCCGUGCCAGCAGCCGCGGUAAUACGGAGGGUGCGAGCGUUAAUCGGAAUUACUGGGCGUAAAGCGCGCGUAGGUGGCUUGAUAAGCCGGUUGUGAAAGCCCCGGGCUCAACCUGGGAACGGCAUCCGGAACUGUCAAGCUAGAGUGCAGGAGAGGAAGGUAGAAUUCCCGGUGUAGCGGUGAAAUGCGUAGAGAUCGGGAGGAAUACCAGUGGCGAAGGCGGCCUUCUGGACUGACACUGACACUGAGGUGCGAAAGCGUGGGUAGCAAACAGGAUUAGAUACCAGUGUAGUC
This 465-nucleotide ribosomal RNA is filed under the name Vreelandella stevensii. RNAcentral describes it as "partial 16S ribosomal RNA". It matches the Rfam family "Bacterial small subunit ribosomal RNA", at positions 338 to 795 of the family's 1533-position model. The record is from RNAcentral. Lineage: Bacteria; Pseudomonadati; Pseudomonadota; Gammaproteobacteria; Oceanospirillales; Halomonadaceae.